GGAUUCCCCUAGUAACUGCGAGUGAAGCGGGAAGAGCUCAAAUUUUGAAUCUGAUAGUCAGAAACGGCUAUCCGAGUUGUAAUCUAGAGAAGUGUCUAACCGCGCUGGACCGUGUACAAGUCUCCUGGAAGGGAGCAUCCUAGAGGGUGAGAAUCCCGUCUUUGACACGGACUACCAGGGCUUAUGUGUUACGCUCUCAACGAGUCGAGUUGUUUGGGAAUGCAGCUCAAAAUGGGUGGUAAACUCCAUCUAAAGCUAAAUAUGGGCGAGAAACCGAUAGCGAACAAGUACCGUGAGGGAAAGAUGAAAAGAACUUUGAAAAGAGAGUUAAACAGUAUGUGAAAUUGCUGGAAGGGAAACGCUUGAUGUCACUCACGUUGGUUGGGGGUCAAUCCUACUUGUUCAUUCAGGUGGGGUGUAUUUCUUAGUCAACGGGUCAGCAUCAGUUUCAGUUGGUGGAUAAGAGUGAAGGAAAUGUAGCACUUUUCGGAGUGUGUUAUAGUCUUUCAUUGUAUACAUUGGUUGGGACUGAGGAAUAAACUCUGCAUGAAUGGAUUAUCGUUCUUGUGCAAANGGAUGCUGGCAAAAUGGCCUUAAGCGACCCGUCUUGAAACACGGACCAAGGAGUCUAACAUGUGUGCGAGUAUUUGGGNUAGUGAAACUCGAGUGCGAAAUGAAAGUGAAUUGGUUAUCAGUUGAGACCUCUGUCGUGGAGGGCAUCAACACCCAGACCGGCGUCAUUGACUAUGGAUCUGCGGUAGAGCAUGCAUGUUGGGACCCGAAAGAUGGUGAACUAUGCCCGAAUAGGGUGAAGCCAGAGGAAACUCUGGUGGAGGCUCGUAGCGAUUCUGACGUGCAAAUCGAUCGUCAAAUUUGGGUAUAGGGGCGAAAGA
Molecule: ribosomal RNA, 893 nt
Filed under: Austroboletus sp.
Lineage: Eukaryota; Fungi; Basidiomycota; Agaricomycetes; Boletales; Boletaceae
Description: LSU rRNA
Rfam family: Eukaryotic large subunit ribosomal RNA
Source: RNAcentral